UUUUUUCUUAAAAAUUCAUAACGUUUUUUGAAAUAGCAUGUUUUUAAACUAAAUAUAACAUGUGAAAUUUUAAUGUUACAUGCUAUUUUGAAAAAUUACACGGAUGUAUUUCGUUUACUGUUCAUCUUACAACAAAUGAAGGGUAGAUUUGUUAUUUCCUUUCUUCCGACAACGUGGGAUCCAUGGUUAUUUUGUAACAAAAAACUUUCUCUCUGCUAGUUUCUUAAUUUGUAUGUUUUAUUUGGUUAUCUACUAAUAUUACCCAUAAAACAAUAUACACCAAAA
This 285-nucleotide small RNA is filed under the name Arabidopsis thaliana (thale cress). Its description in RNAcentral is "ATSL084070". The record is from RNAcentral. Lineage: Eukaryota; Viridiplantae; Streptophyta; Magnoliopsida; Brassicales; Brassicaceae.